UGGGGAAUAUUGCGCAAUGGGGGCAACCCUGACGCAGCAACGCCGCGUGAUCGAUGAAGGUUUUCGGAUUGUAAAGAUCUUUUGUCUGGGAAGAAUUCUUGACGGUACCAGACGAAUAAGCUCCGGCUAACUACGUGCCAGCAGCCGCGGUAAUACGUAGGGAGCAAGCGUUAUCCGGAUUUACUGGGUGUAAAGGGUGAGUAGGCGGAUCAGCAAGUCAGAUGUGAAAUACCGGGGCUCAACUCCGGGGCUGCAUUUGAAACUGUUGACCUUGAGUGAUGGAGAGGCAGGCGGAAUUCCUAGUGUAGCGGUGAAAUGCGUAGAUAUUAGGAGGGACACCAGUGGCGAAGGCGGCCUGCUGGACACUAACUGACGCUGAGGCACGAAAGCGUGGGGAGCAAACAGGAUUAGAUACCC
Molecule: ribosomal RNA, 417 nt
Filed under: uncultured Ruminococcus sp.
Lineage: Bacteria; Bacillati; Bacillota; Clostridia; Eubacteriales; Oscillospiraceae
Description: bacterial SSU rRNA
Rfam family: Bacterial small subunit ribosomal RNA
Source: RNAcentral